Small nucleolar RNA from Suncus etruscus (white-toothed pygmy shrew), 137 nucleotides. RefSeq annotates it as small nucleolar RNA SNORA51. NCBI's taxonomy places the organism in Eukaryota, Metazoa, Chordata, Mammalia, Eulipotyphla, Soricidae. The transcript has a single exon. The record is from RefSeq and is a predicted model, not a curated record.
AUUUUCCUAGCAGCUUAUUUUCAAUACUACAUAAAAGUUCGAGAACUGUAUAGAAAGAGGAGGUACAGUAGAUGCACCCCAUAUACACCUCAACCCAGGGGCUUUGCCUGGUCUGUAUUGUGAAUGGGGGAACAAAA